RNAcentral lists this ribosomal RNA (865 nucleotides) under uncultured bacterium. RNAcentral describes it as "bacterial SSU rRNA". It matches the Rfam family "Bacterial small subunit ribosomal RNA", at positions 9 to 873 of the family's 1533-position model. The record is from RNAcentral.
GAGUUUGAUCAUGGCUCAGGAUGAACGCUAGCGGGAGGCUUAACACAUGCAAGCCGAGGGGUAUAGUUAGCUUGCUAACUAGAGACCGGCACACGGGUGCGUAACGCGUAUGCAACUUGCCCUACUGAAAAGGAUAGCCCUUCGAAAGGAGGAUUAAUACUUUAUAACAGAUUUAAUGGCAUCAUUAGAUUUUGAAAGAUUUAUCGCAGUAGGAUAGGCAUGCGUAAGAUUAGUUAGUUGGUGAGGUAACGGCUCACCAAGACGAUGAUCUUUAGGGGGCCUGAGAGGGUGAACCCCCACACUGGUACUGAGACACGGACCAGACUCCUACGGGAGGCAGCAGUGAGGAAUAUUGGACAAUGGGUGGAAGCCUGAUCCAGCCAUCCCGCGUGUAGGAUGACGGCCUUAUGGGUUGUAAACUACUUUUAUCUGGGGAUAAACCUACUCACGUGUGAGUAGCUGAAGGUACCAGAAGAAUAAGCACCGGCUAACUCCGUGCCAGCAGCCGCGGUAAUACGGAGGGUGCAAGCGUUAUCCGGAUUUAUUGGGUUUAAAGGGUCCGUAGGCGGAUUAAUCAGUCAGUGGUGAAAUCUCAUAGCUUAACUAUGAAACUGCCAUUGAUACUGUUAGUCUUGAGUGAUGUUGAAGUUGCUGGAAUGUGUAGUGUAGCGGUGAAAUGCUUAGAUAUUACGCAGAACACCAAUUGCGAAGGCAGGUGACUAAACAUCAACUGACGCUGAUGGACGAAAGCGUGGGGAGCGAACAGGAUUAGAUACCCUGGUAGUCCACGCCGUAAACGAUGGAUACUUGCUGUUGGGUUUUCGGAUUCAGUGGCUAAGCGAAAGUUAUAAGUAUCCCACCUGGG